UUCAAACCAUGUAAAAAGAGUGGAUGAGCGAAAUUUGCUCGCAAAUCUCAGACCAAGUUUGUGAAUGGCUUGAUUGCCAUACGAUACAAAGCAAGAAAUAGGGGCAUGAUUUGAGACAGAUUGUUCAUAUUGAUAUUCAGCAUAAAUCUGGAUGGUGAAGAUUCACAUCAAUUCAGCCAAUGGUUUGACUACUUCUGCAAGGAGCACACAAACGACUUGUAGUUUUAUAUAUACAACUGGUUGGUGAGUUUACAGUCUAAUGAUUGUUUCUAAAUUUCAUGGUUUGCACUUGCACUUUUCAAGCAUUGUUGCUAAGUCUGUUGAAAAUAUCAAUUCGUUGUGUUGACUGACUGACAAGGAAAAUUACAGCAAAUAUGCAGGCAUAAUAUGAGGCUUUUACCUACACCAUUCAUUGACGACAAGGAAAUUACAAUCAGUAACGUUAAAGCAUUAACUAGUUAGUAAGUUAAUAUGAUACUAACCACUCGUUGUGACAUACUCCAUAUUGUAAUUUCAUUAUUAGAAAUGUUCAUUUUUUAGGUUCUCACUAAAGAUCAUCAUCGUAAAUAUUUACUCACCUUAGAAGAAAUUGUUUAGCUAUUUGCUCAUUAUCUUGAAUAUCUUUCAUCGUUGAUUGAAAAUAUUGUGUUUGUCUAUUUGUGUGAAUCACAGUCAGAUAAUUAAAUACUUUUCAACUUGAGUCAAUUUUAUCGGAAAUGAUGAUUCGAUGUGGAUGUAAACAUGAACAAAGAAUGAGUCCAAGGGAGUGAUUAGCGUCAUAUAAACUUACUAACUAAUUGAUGCUUGAGCACUAGAGCUCUACUUCGCACAAUAAAAGUAUUCAAAUGGAUUGAGCUUUGGGAGUAAAUCUAAUAGUUUGGCCCAAAAGUUGAGUCUGGCUGCAAUACUUUGGGGAGCAACAACAGUUCUCCAGGCUUGGCCGAUAUUUGCUAAAUGGAAAGCGAUCCAAGGAAAGGGGUAGUGACAACUCUAUCUUUCCCAUUUUUGUUCAACACCUAACAAUUUGAUUAGGACUUUCCCAUUUCGGCUUAGUAUACUGAUAAAAAUUCACAAAAUUAUAAAUAAAUUAAAUUUAAAAAAACCCAAUCCUGGUUGAGUUGACUGGAGGGCUAUUAGGUGUUGGUGUGUAUUGAUCAAAUUGUUUGGUGCAUUUACACUGCAUGCCUCAUGGCAAUGGCAUACAUAAGAUAAGACAAGGGUGUGGUCAAAGUUCAAAUAAUUUUGGGGUUCUUGGUGUCAUCGGGGCUUUGCUUAGUUUUGUGUACGAUUGACAAUGUCGACAACACAAAACAAAAUUCUAUAUAUAUAAACCAAACCAUGUAACCCAUCGGUUCAUAUAAAUCAUCAUUUCUCAUUUUGGAUGGGUUGAAAAGUAAUAAAAAUAUAUAUA
Molecule: long non-coding RNA, 1411 nt
Filed under: Prunus persica (peach)
Lineage: Eukaryota; Viridiplantae; Streptophyta; Magnoliopsida; Rosales; Rosaceae
Description: long non-coding RNA (PPER_LNC004076)
Source: RNAcentral